UUUGCAGUACAGAAGCAACAGCUCCGGAGGAACGACAUCAUUUCUCUUUGUCCUGAAAGGAAAAGACACGCUCCAAAUAUCCAUCUUCUUACACAGCACUGAAGUGAGUCAAUUUAAAGCAGAGUUCAAUUGGAACAUGAGAGGCGGCUGCGCUACACGUUACAAUGUUAAAGGGAAUGCGGUAAAUAUAGAUGAGACAGUUUCGCGCUAAAUUUUCUCCCAGCAGUUCCUCGUUAGUAUAGUGGGGGUACAGAAAGGAAGAAGGGGAGGGGAACAAGAAACCAUUUGAGGAUUGCAGACAAUGUCAAAUUUGACAUGAUAAACUGUAGAUUUAGAUCCAUCCAUUCAGUUUUACUUCUAAAUAGGUAAGUGAAAUGUAAGACCAUUUGUAAGGUAAAAUUGGGUGAUAUGAUCUGUAUAGUGUCCUUGGGAUGGAAAUAUUCCAGGCUGCUGAUUUAAAUUGUUAAAUUGUUUUUUGAAGUCACUGAAUUCUAUAAAAGUGGGCUGAAGAAAAAAAAUAAAUCAGCAUACACUGCUAUUUCGUGUACUUCUGUCAGCAUGCGCUCUUUGCCCUUUCCUUUAGCUGCACUGUGCAGCUGUGCCUGUUGACACUGUGGAACCCUGGUGCUACUGCUACCGCUAAACCAGGCGGUAGCCCAGGGAUCCCACAGUGGUCUAUGUCAAUGACCACAGAGCAGCUGUGCUGAAAGAAUAGGGCACACACAUCACUCACAUGCUGAUCGGCAGAAAUGAAGCCAAUUCAACUUUAAAAAAUUUAAUUUCAAAUGCAUCAGGUGCUUUGUACACUGUGGUGCAGUAAGCAAAUAACUCCUGUUAUCAAUGGGGAGUGCCAGUUUGUUAGUUUCCCUGAGUUCCUAAAUUGGUGUUCUAGUUUUCCAAGGGUACCACUGGGUAUCAGGUAAGCAAUUAUAGCCACUGGGAUGCCUAACUAAUUGGCACCCCCACUGAUUUCUACGUUCCUCUGUCAGGAUACUAUACUGUGGUUAAAAUAUAAUUCUGGACAAAACAUUUUCUAAAGCUGCACUGCUUCAAGGUUUUGAACUACUCUUCCUCCACUAAGGCUAGGUGUAGGAUACUGCUUGAAUUCUCUGUAUCAUAAUGUCAUUCUGUUCUGGUUAGAGGAUGGCUGUCCUUACAUAGGGCUUAUGGGUGGAAAAAUAGUUGGCACUGGGCCUUGCAGCACUGAGGUCCUAGGGUUAAUUUCAUUUCUGUGUACAUGCAAAUUUGCCCAGUGUUGAUAAAUAAAAUAAGCCUCACUCUUCCUAACUGUGGCUUCACUAUGUGCUCACUAUCCCUACAAAACUCAGCACUGGGGCCUGUGUUGCUUACUUGCCUAACUAACUCUCACCCCUGUGGGAAGUUAAGUCCCUCUAACUAAAGACAGUGACUGGUCACAUAACCAUGGAGUCUUAUAUAGGCCAAAGAGGCUCCUCCACUGAACAUUCCCUUUAUUUAAGCCCUCAACCUUUGGACCUCUUACUGUAAUGACAAAUUCCAAGGAAGCCUAACCAAGUCCCAACCUUAGGGGUGAAGACACAAGGAGCUACUGGUAGAAGCUACUUGUCACAGCUAUAAAAAUAGACAA
This is a long non-coding RNA of Xenopus tropicalis (tropical clawed frog), 1606 nucleotides long. RefSeq lists it as uncharacterized. The record is from RefSeq and is a predicted model, not a curated record. Lineage: Eukaryota; Metazoa; Chordata; Amphibia; Anura; Pipidae. The transcript is spliced from 3 exons.